Molecule: ribosomal RNA, 400 nt
Filed under: uncultured bacterium
Lineage: Bacteria
Description: bacterial SSU rRNA
Rfam family: Bacterial small subunit ribosomal RNA
Source: RNAcentral
GGAAUAUUGGGCAAUGGAGGCAACUCUGACCCAGCAACGCCGCGUGAAUGAUGAAGGUCUUCGGAUUGUCAAGUUCUUUUCUAAGGGAAGAUAAUGACGGUACCUGACUAAGAAGCCCCGGCUAACUACGUGCCAGCAGCCGCGGUAAUACGUAGGGGGCAAGCGUUAUCCGGAUUUACUGGGUGUAAAGGGAGCGUAGGUGGCAGGGCAAGUCAGAUGUGAAAACCCGGGGCUCAACCCCGGGAGUGCAUUUGAAACUGUCCAGCUGGAGUGCAGGAGAGGUAAGCGGAAUUCCUAGUGUAGCGGUGAAAUGCAUAGAUAUUAGGAGGAACACCAGUGGCGAAGGCGGCUUACUGGACUGUAACUGACACUGAGGCUCGAAAGCGUGGGGAGCAAACAG